Molecule: ribosomal RNA, 1345 nt
Filed under: uncultured bacterium
Lineage: Bacteria
Description: bacterial SSU rRNA
Rfam family: Bacterial small subunit ribosomal RNA
Source: RNAcentral
GACGAACGCUGGCGGCGUGCUUAACACAUGCAAGUCGAACGAUGAAGCCUAGCUUGCUAGGUGGAUUAGUGGCGAACGGGUGAGUAAUACGUGAGUGACCUACCUUUGACUCUGGGAUAAGCCUGGGAAACUGGGUCUAAUACCGGAUACGACCAAUCUCUGCAUGGGGUGUUGGUGGAAAGCGUUAUGGAGUGGUUUUAGAUGGGCUCACGGCCUAUCAGCUUGUUGGUGAGGUAAUGGCUUACCAAGGCGACGACGGGUAGCCGGCCUGAGAGGGUGACCGGCCACACUGGGACUGAGACACGGCCCAGACUCCUACGGGAGGCAGCAGUGGGGAAUAUUGCACAAUGGGCGCAAGCCUGAUGCAGCGACGCCGCGUGAGGGAUGACGGCCUUCGGGUUGUAAACCUCUGUUAGCAUCGAAGAAGCGAAAGUGACGGUAGGUGCAGAGAAAGCGCCGGCUAACUACGUGCCAGCAGCCGCGGUAAUACGUAGGGCGCGAGCGUUGUCCGGAAUUAUUGGGCGUAAAGAGCUUGUAGGCGGUUGGUCGCGUCUGCUGUGAAGGCCGGGGCUUAACUCCGGUUUUGCAGUGGGUACGGGCUAACUAGAGUGCAGUAGGGGAGGCUGGAAUUCCUGGUGUAGCGGUGGAAUGCACAGAUAUCAGGAGGAACACCGAUGGCGAAGGCAGGUCUCUGGGCUGUAACUGACGCUGAGAAGCGAAAGCAUGGGGAGCGAACAGGAUUAGAUACCCUGGUAGUCCAUGCCGUAAACGUUGGGCACUAGGUGUGGGGGACAUUCCACGUUUUCCGCGCCGUAGCUAACGCAUUAAGUGCCCCGCCUGGGGAGUACGGCCGCAAGGCUAAAACUCAAAGGAAUUGACGGGGGCCCGCACAAGCGGCGGAGCAUGCGGAUUAAUUCGAUGCAACGCGAAGAACCUUACCAAGGCUUGACAUGCAUUAGAUCGCGUCAGAGAUGGCGGUUCCCUUCGGGGCUGGUGUACAGGUGGUGCAUGGUUGUCGUCAGCUCGUGUCGUGAGAUGUUGGGUUAAGUCCCGCAACGAGCGCAACCCUCGUUCUAUGUUGCCAGCGGUUCGGCCGGGGACUCAUAGGAGACUGCCGGGGUUAACUCGGAGGAAGGUGGGGAUGACGUCAAAUCAUCAUGCCCCUUAUGUCUUGGGCUUCACGCAUGCUACAAUGGCCGGUACAGAGGGUUGCGAUACUGUGAGGUGGAGCUAAUCCCUUAAAGCCGGUCUCAGUUCGGAUUGGGGUCUGCAACUCGACCCCAUGAAGUCGGAGUCGCUAGUAAUCGCAGAUCAGCAACGCUGCGGUGAAUACGUUCCCGGGCCU